GGUCAGCUGACACAUCCCUGCCAAUCUCCGGCAGACCCUCCCUCCCAGACCCUCCUACUUCCUGGACAGCAUCCAUGUUGAAGGCAGGUUCAACAUGGAUGCUGUCCAGGAGGUGGGAGGGUCUGGGAGGGAGGGUCUGCCGGAGAUUGGCAGGGAUGUGUCAGCUG
RNAcentral lists this microRNA precursor (167 nucleotides) under Pelobates cultripes (western spadefoot toad). The record is from RNAcentral. Lineage: Eukaryota; Metazoa; Chordata; Amphibia; Anura; Pelobatidae.